This 478-nucleotide ribosomal RNA is filed under the name uncultured bacterium. RNAcentral's name for it is "partial 16S ribosomal RNA". It matches the Rfam family "Bacterial small subunit ribosomal RNA", at positions 28 to 507 of the family's 1533-position model. The record is from RNAcentral.
GAUGAACGCUGGCGGCGUGCUUAACACAUGCAAGUCGAACGAGAAGUGGAGACGGAAACCUUCGGGCGGAAGACUUUACUUCGAGUGGCGGACGGGUGAGUAACGCGUGGGUAACCUGCCUCAUACAGGGGGAUAACAGUUGGAAACGACUGUUAAUACCGCAUAAGACCACAGCACCGCAUGGUGCGGGGGUAAAAACUCCGGUGGUAUGAGAUGGACCCGCGUUCGAUUAGCCAGUUGGCGGGGUAACGGCCCACCAAAGCGACGAUCGAUAGCCGAUCUGAGAGGAUGACCGGCCACAUUGGGACUGAGACACGGCCCAAACUACUACGGGAGGCAGCAGUGGGGAAUAUUGCACAAUGGGGGAAACCCUGAUGCAGCGACGACGCGUGAGUGAAGAAGUAUUUCGGUAUGUAAAGCUCUAUAAGCAGGGAAGAAAAUGACAGUACCUGAGUAAGAAGCCCCGGCUAACUACGUG